Molecule: ribosomal RNA, 623 nt
Filed under: uncultured bacterium
Lineage: Bacteria
Description: bacterial SSU rRNA
Rfam family: Bacterial small subunit ribosomal RNA (bases 1-531)
Source: RNAcentral
CCUACGGGAGGCAGCAGUGAGGAAUAUUGGACAAUGGGCGCAAGCCUGAUCCAGCCAUGCCGCGUGCAGGAAGACGGUCCUAUGGAUUGUAAACUGCUUUUAUACAGGAAGAAACACCUCUACGUGUAGAGACUUGACGGUACUGUAUGAAUAAGCAUCGGCUAACUCCGUGCCAGCAGCCGCGGUAAUACGGAGGAUGCAAGCGUUAUCCGGAAUCAUUGGGUUUAAAGGGUCCGUAGGCGGUUUAAUAAGUCAGUGGUGAAAGCCCAUCGCUCAACGAUGGAACGGCCAUUGAUACUGUUAAACUUGAAUUAUUAGGAAGUAACUAGAAUAUGUAGUGUAGCGGUGAAAUGCUUAGAGAUUACAUGGAAUACCAAUUGCGAAGGCAGGUUACUACUAAUAUAUUGACGCUGAUGGACGAAAGCGUGGGGAGCGAACAGGAUUAGAUACCCUGGUAGUCCACGCCGUAAACGAUGGAUACUAGCUGUUCGGAGCAAUNUNGUGNGAGAGAAGAGAGUAAGUAGUACCACCGUCGGGUAGGUACGUUCGUUCGAGAAGUUAGAACGUUAACGAAGGAAGUUAGACGGACGNGAGACGACGACGACGACGACGAGGAGGAGGAG